ACGGGAGGCAGCAGUGGGGAAUAUUGGACAAUGGGCGCAAGCCUGAUCCAGCCAUGCCGCGUGAGUGAUGAAGGCCUUAGGGUUGUAAAGCUCUUUUGUCCGGGACGAUAAUGACGGUACCGGAAGAAUAAGCCCCGGCUAACUUCGUGCCAGCAGCCGCGGUAAUACGAAGGGGGCUAGCGUUGCUCGGAAUCACUGGGCGUAAAGGGCGCGUAGGCGGCCAUUCAAGUCGGGGGUGAAAGCCUGUGGCUCAACCACAGAAUUGCCUUCGAUACUGUUUGGCUUGAGUAUGGCAGAGGUCAGUGGAACUGCGAGUGUAGAGGUGAAAUUCGUAGAUAUUCGCAAGAACACCAGUGGCGAAGGCGGCUGACUGGGCCAUUACUGACGCUGAGGCGCGAAAGCGUGGGGAGCAAACAGGAUUAGAUACCCUGGUA
Molecule: ribosomal RNA, 434 nt
Filed under: uncultured Methylobacterium sp.
Lineage: Bacteria; Pseudomonadati; Pseudomonadota; Alphaproteobacteria; Hyphomicrobiales; Methylobacteriaceae
Description: partial 16S ribosomal RNA
Rfam family: Bacterial small subunit ribosomal RNA
Source: RNAcentral